CACCGCGGCUAUACGAUGAGGCUCAAGCUGACAGACAACGGCGUAAAGAGUGGUUAGGGAUUACAAAAAAUAAAGCCGAACGCUCUCUAAGCUGUUAUACGCGCAUGCGAGAGUAUGAAGCCCAACUACGAAAGUGGCUUUACUACACCUGAACCCACGAAAGCUAAGAAA
RNAcentral lists this ribosomal RNA (171 nucleotides) under Psettodes erumei (Indian spiny turbot). RNAcentral's name for it is "partial 12S rRNA". Lineage: Eukaryota; Metazoa; Chordata; Actinopteri; Pleuronectiformes; Psettodidae. The record is from RNAcentral.